AUACGUAGGGGGCGAGCGUUGUCCGGAAUGACUGGGCGUAAAGGGCGUGUAGGCGGUUGAAUAAGUCUGGAGUGAAAGUCCCGGGUUCAAGUUGGGACCUGCUUUGGAUACUGUUCAACUUGAGUGCGGAAGAGGUAAGUGGAAUUCCCAGUGUAGCGGGGAAAUGCGUAGAUAUUGGGAGGAACACCAGUGGCGAAGGCGACUUACUGGGCCGUAACUGACGCUGAGGCGCGAAAGCGUGGGGAGCGAACAGGAUUAGAUACCCUGGUAGUCCACGCGGUAAACGAUGAAUGCUAGGUGUUGCGGGUAUCGACCCCUGCAGUGCCGGAGUAAACACAAUAAGCAUUCCGCCUGGGGAGUACGGCCGCAAGGUUGAAACUCAAAGGAAUUGACGGGG
This 397-nucleotide ribosomal RNA is filed under the name uncultured bacterium. RNAcentral's name for it is "partial 16S ribosomal RNA". It matches the Rfam family "Bacterial small subunit ribosomal RNA", at positions 523 to 918 of the family's 1533-position model. The record is from RNAcentral.